GAUGAACGCUGGCGGCGUGCCUAAUACAUGCAAGUCGAGCGAACAGAUAAGGAGCUUGCUCCUUUGACGUUAGCGGCGGACGGGUGAGUAACACGUGGAUAACCUACCUAUAAGACUGGGAUAACUUCGGGAAACCGGAGCUAAUACCGGAUAACAUAUUGAACCGCAUGGUUCAAUAGUGAAAGGCGGCUUUGCUGUCACUUAUAGAUGGAUCCGCGCCGUAUUAGCUAGUUGGUAAGGUAACGGCUUACCAAGGCAACGAUACGUAGCCGACCUGAGAGAGUGAUCGGCCACCCUAGAAGUGAGACACGGUCCAGGCUCCUACGGGAGGGAGCAGUAGGGAAUCUGACGCAGUGGGCGAAAGCCUGACGGAGCAGCGCCGCGUGAGUGAUGAAGGUCUUCGGAUCGUAAAACUCUGUUAUCAGGGAAGAACAAAUGUGUAAGUAACUGUGCACAUCUUGACGGUACCUGAUCAGAAAGCCACGGCUAACUACGUG
Molecule: ribosomal RNA, 497 nt
Filed under: uncultured bacterium
Lineage: Bacteria
Description: partial 16S ribosomal RNA
Rfam family: Bacterial small subunit ribosomal RNA
Source: RNAcentral